CCCCUAGAUGAAGAAGAGAUGAUCUUAUUCAUCCUCACUGGUCUCAACGUCGACUACAAUUCGAUGUGUCAGCUAUCGUGACACGAAUUGAACCAGUCUCCAUAAGUGAACUAUAUGCUCAACUUCUAAGUUCUGAA
Phragmites australis (common reed) is the source of this 137-nucleotide small nucleolar RNA. RefSeq annotates it as small nucleolar RNA Z247. The record is from RefSeq and is a predicted model, not a curated record. Lineage: Eukaryota; Viridiplantae; Streptophyta; Magnoliopsida; Poales; Poaceae. The transcript has a single exon.